GAUGAACGCUGGCGGCGUGCCUAAUACAUGCAAGUCGAGCGAACGGACGAGAAGCUUGCUUCUCUGAUGUUAGCGGCGGACGGGUGAGUAACACGUGGAUAACCUACUUAUAAGACUGGGAUAACUUCGGGAAACCGGAGCUAAUACCGGAUAAUAUUUUGAACCGCAUGGUUCAAAAGUGAAAGACGGUCUUGCUGUCACUUAUAGAUGGAUCCGCGCUGCAUUAGCUAGUUGGUAAGGUAACGGCUUACCAAGGCAACGAUGCAUAGCCGACCUGAGAGGGUGAUCGGCCACACUGGAACUGAGACACGGUCCAGACUCCUACGGGAGGCAGCAGUAGGGAAUCUUCCGCAAUGGGCGAAAGCCUGACGGAGCAACGCCGCGUGAGUGAUGAAGGUCUUCGGAUCGUAAAACUCUGUUAUUAGGGAAGAACAUAUGUGUAAGUAACUGUGCACAUCUUGACGGUACCUAAUCAGAAAGCCACGGCUAACUACGUGCCAGCAGCCGCGGUAAUACGUAGGUGGCAAGCGUUAUCCGGAAUUAUUGGGCGUAAAGCGCGCGUAGGCGGUUUUUUAGUCUGAUGUGAAAGCCCACGGCUCAACCGUGGAGGGUCAUUGGAAACUGGAAAACUUGAGUGCAGAAGAGGAAAGUGGAAUUCCAUGUGUAGCGGUGAAAUGCGCAGAGAUAUGGAGGAACACCAGUGGCGAAGGCGACUUUCUGGUCUGUAACUGACGCUGAUGUGCGAAAGCGUGGGGAUCAAACAGGAUUAGAUACCCUGGUAGUCCACGCCGUAAACGAUGAGUGCUAAGUGUUAGGGGGUUUCCGCCCCUUAGUGCUGCAGCUAACGCAUUAAGCACUCCGCCUGGGGAGUACGACCGCAAGGUUGAAACUCAAAGGAAUUGACGGGGACCCGCACAAGCGGUGGAGCAUGUGGUUUAAUUCGAAGCAACGCGAAGAACCUUACCAAAUCUUGACAUCCUUUGACAACUCUAGAGAUAGAGCUUUCCCCUUCGGGGGACAAAGUGACAGGUGGUGCAUGGUUGUCGUCAGCUCGUGUCGUGAGAUGUUGGGUUAAGUCCCGCAACGAGCGCAACCCUUAAGCUUAGUUGCCAUCAUUAAGUUGGGCACUCUAAGUUGACUGCCGGUGACAAACCGGAGGAAGGUGGGGAUGACGUCAAAUCAUCAUGCCCCUUAUGAUUUGGGCUACACACGUGCUACAAUGGACAAUACAAAGGGCAGCGAAACCGCGAGGUCAAGCAAAUCCCAUAAAGUUGUUCUCAGUUCGGAUUGUAGUCUGCAACUCGACUACAUGAAGCUGGAAUCGCUAGUAAUCGUAGAUCAGCAUGCUACGGUGAAUACGUUCCCGGGUCU
This 1371-nucleotide ribosomal RNA is filed under the name uncultured bacterium. RNAcentral's name for it is "bacterial SSU rRNA". It matches the Rfam family "Bacterial small subunit ribosomal RNA", at positions 28 to 1381 of the family's 1533-position model. The record is from RNAcentral.